GGACUACUCGGGUUUCUAAUCCUGUUUGAUCCCCACGCUUUCGUGCCUCAGCGUCAAUGUCGGUCCAGAUAGCCGCUUACGCCACUGGUGUUCCUGUCAAUAUCUACGCAUUUCACUGCUACACUGACAAUUCCGCUAUCCUCUCCCGAAUUCGAGUUAUGUAGUUUUAAAAGCAAUUCCAAGGUUGAGCCCUGGGCUUUCACUUCUAACUUUCAUAACCGCCUACGCACUCUUUACGCCCAGUGAUUCCGAACAACGCUCGCCCCCUUCGUAUUACCGCGGCUGCUGGCAC
This 292-nucleotide ribosomal RNA is filed under the name uncultured bacterium. RNAcentral's name for it is "partial 16S ribosomal RNA". The record is from RNAcentral.